GACGAACGCUGGCGGCGUGCUUAACACAUGCAAGUCGAGCGUAAAGGCCCUGCUUUUGUGGGGUGCUCGAGUGGCGAACGGGUGAGUAACACGUGAGUAACCUGCCCUUGACUUUGGGAUAACUUCAGGAAACUGGGGCUAAUACCGGAUAGGAGCUCCUGCUGCAUGGUGGGGGUUGGAAAGUUUCGGCGGUUGGGGAUGGACUCGCGGCUUAUCAGCUUGUUGGUGGGGUAGUGGCUUACCAAGGCUUUGACGGGUAGCCGGCCUGAGAGGGUGACCGGCCACAUUGGGACUGAGAUACGGCCCAGACUCCUACGGGAGGCAGCAGUGGGGAAUAUUGCACAAUGGGCGGAAGCCUGAUGCAGCAACGCCGCGUGCGGGAUGACGGCCUUCGGGUUGUAAACCGCUUUCGCCUGUGACGAAGCGUGAGUGACGGUAAUGGGUAAAGAAGCACCGGCUAACUACGUG
Molecule: ribosomal RNA, 468 nt
Filed under: uncultured bacterium
Lineage: Bacteria
Description: partial 16S ribosomal RNA
Rfam family: Bacterial small subunit ribosomal RNA
Source: RNAcentral